UACGUAGGGUCCAAGCGUUACUCGGAAUUACUGGGCGUAAAGCGUGCGCAGGCGGUUUUGUAAGCCAGAUGUGAAAUCCCCGGGCUUAACCUGGGAACUGCGUUUGAAACUGGGAGACUUGAGUGUGGCAGAGGGGGGUGGAAUUCCACGUGUAGCAGUGAAAUGCGUAGAUAUGUGGAGGAACACCGAUGGCGAAGGCAGCCCCCUGGGUUAACACUGACGCUCAUGCACGAAAGCGUGGGGAGCAAACAGG
RNAcentral lists this ribosomal RNA (253 nucleotides) under uncultured bacterium. Its description in RNAcentral is "partial 16S ribosomal RNA". It matches the Rfam family "Bacterial small subunit ribosomal RNA", at positions 524 to 776 of the family's 1533-position model. The record is from RNAcentral.